This is an RNA transcript of Athene cunicularia (burrowing owl), 6600 nucleotides long. It is a transcript of the gene named TraB domain containing, with no coding region annotated. The transcript has 10 exons. The record is from RefSeq and is a predicted model, not a curated record. Lineage: Eukaryota; Metazoa; Chordata; Aves; Strigiformes; Strigidae.
GAAGGUUGAAAAAUCAAGCUCUAAGAAAUUUGGAAAUGCUUGGAUUUAAGUUGCCCAGAUGUUUGCCAGGAUUUGUAUCCAAUUCAGGACCCUUUUUUGCUGUUGGACACAGUGGGAGGAAGUGCAUGCAGCUUGAUAUGCUUCAGUUCCUUGUCUGUGUGACAGCAAGCUACAUUCAGUCCUCUCUCAGAGGUUUCGGGAUUAGUGUUUCAAGUAUUGUGGGAUGUGGAUAUCUUCUGUGAAUACACAGAUGUGCAGGGAUAGUGGCUUUUCCGUGUGGAUGAGCUAGGUCAGCAUGGAGCCCAAGGUAUUUGUCUAGUUCCCAGAAUAUAUGUACUUGAUCCUAUGUCGUUUAUGAGGAUGGCUAGCUGAGUACCCAGCCUUGUCUGUACUCUGUUGUUGACAUGUUUUGUGCCUAUUUUCACUCACAGUAAGCAAGAACACAGAUUUUCACAGCAGUUGUUCAGUUGAGCUUGCUCUUUUUCUGUUGUCAGCAAGUUGUAAGAAUUUUCUUAAUGUUGACUGAAUAACCUGAAUUCCUGGGCGUGUUCUAAGGGAAAGAAUUUUUUUUUUAAUCCAGAAACAGGUCUUCUGCGUAGAAAAUACCACCUCCGGUAGAUCUUGAGCAGAUCUAAGCACUUGAGAACAAGAUCUAGUUAGAAGAAAGCAAUGGCAGAGUUGCUUGUCAAUGUGGCUGCCCAGUCUCUCAUCUGACUGUUGUGGUAUUGUGCCGUGAGUUCCCUGCAGAGACUGGAACCCUGCUAUAGUGGAGUUGGGAAGCACAUUGAACAAACAACUUUGCUUUCUCCAAAGGUUGUCAGGUCAGAAAAAGCAGUGCUAGCUAGCGUGAGUGGACUUCAGAAAUAUCUCUCUUUCCGAUAUCAGACAUGUCAUUUACGCAGUGGUGGGAACGGGAUGAGGUUUUCUAAAAUGUCAUUUGGUAGGGGAAAAAAAAAAUCCCUAGGUGCUUCUGUAUAGAAGUCUAUUCUUUAACUGAAAUUUGUAGUUUACUAUCUUUUUAAGAGCCCUCUAGUACAUAAGGAACACUUCUUCAAACCUUGGCAAGGCCUUCAACCAAGCUUAGAACUUCAGAUUGUAUUUAGGACCAGCUGAUUCACUGGUAGAAAAACACUGGAAUUUUGCACAUAAACCAAUUGAGAACCAAGCCCACAGCUGAGUGUCAGUGUAUUAGUACACUAACUGAUGUUGUGGCUGGACAAACAUUUUCUCAGAGGACAGUGCUGGUUUCAGCAUCUCCAUUCCAUAUUGUCUUUUCAGUUUUGUUGACACAGUUGUUCCUGCACGUGUAUGGAUAUCUGAACUUAAAAUGCCUUGGUAAGAUGGGGGAAAAAGAGGUGGUUUUUUAGCUUGAAUUUGCUCUUCAGUAUGGUUUACUGCAUAAAUCUACCAGUAGUUCAACUAGUCUAACAGAGGCAGGACCGAAUAAAACCAGGCACCUGAUUCACUUCAGCCUGCAACACCACCAGGCAACUCUGGCCAGGCAGUCUGGCAUGGGGUGUCAGUGGGCUGGCCAGUCCCUGUUAAGGUUGUAGCUCUUGAGGCAGGGGUUUCCUUUGGAUGUGCUUAUUUAGAGCAGUCCGGAACAUGUGUAAAUUGUGGAAACAUUGAAGCAGAAAAGAGCAGUUCAGCUUCACCUGCCAUUUCGGCUUACACUGACAUCUGAGUUUCCUCCACUUGAUUCCUUGGAAAGGGGGAAGGCAUGGUCAUGGUUUUAAAUUUGUUACAUAUUGUAGCAAAACCAGUAGAGUACUUGGGCAACUGUGCCUGUGCAGACUUCUCACGUUUUUGAAUAAAUGGUCUGCUACUGAGCCUCUUCAGACCAUUUGCAAUGUGUAGUUUUUGUUUUAAAAGGUAUUUGCCUUGCAGCUCAGGAGCUGUGUCUGUAGCUGUUACCUGCUCAGGGCAUGGGGCUCUACUGGGUUUCAUGGGGAUUUUGCUCCAGGGAGCAUGCAGAAGCCAGGCUCUUGGCCACUCCGCAUUUUUCUUGUCCAGCCUGAAGCUGUGAUCUGCAGUUUGCUGUCGGACAACUACCAGUGGGCAAUGCAAUGGUGUGAAUUGCUGAAGUCCUCCUAUAUGCGUGUGGAGAGAGGUGUGCCAGCUGUCUGAAUUGCACUUGUAUGCUUCAUGCUGCCCACGCGAAUGGUCACCUUGUAGAAACGAAUUAUAAGCAAAGCUAGAAAGCAAAACAACUUACUUGAGAAUACAGGCGAGAAACCGGGAUGCAGAGCGCUAAUCAGACUCAAGGAGACUUGCAUUUGGGGAAGAGGGGAGGCUUUUGCCAUCACAUUCUGUGUGUGCUGGAAUAUGCUAUCAUGCAGGCACCAGCCAGCUUUCCUUAAGGCUCGCCUGGAUGUAGGGCAGGAGCCUAACUUGUCCCUUACUCCUCAAAGUGGGGCUGCAAACGUGUGAAUAACUUGGUCAGGAAUGCUCUCCAGCCGAAUAAAAUAAAACACUGUUCAUGUGUACUGUGAAAGAGGUCAAAGGGAGGUAACCUAAAAUAUUGUAGUGAAGCAGCAGCACUGUUCAAGUGCUUCAGUUUUAGUAGGAUAGCAGUAGGAAUAAGCAGAAUAAGCACUAGUCACAUGCUCAGUGUCUUGUGCAAUUCCCUCAGAGUACCAUUAGUCAAAUCAUAAUACUGUGCCAGCUUCAGGGAGAACUUUUGAACUUGACCAGUGUGGAUGAAAGAAGGAAUCUUAAAACUAAGACAUGGAAACCAUUCACAGAGGGUUUUAAAACCCAAUUUACAGGUUUUUUUUUUUCACACAGACAUGAUCUUACUAAUGUUCUAAGCCUGACAUAUAAGAAUGUGUAUGCCUCUCUAGCUGAAUAUUAAGACAAUGACUGCUUUCAUAUUCCUUGUAGCAGUGAAUUCCUAGAAAUGUAGGUGAUUCCUAAGAUUUGCCGAAGAACUGUCUUGCUGUAGUUAGUUUGGACAAGACAGAACUACUGAUCUAGUUGAGCAGGAUUUUUGCUAUUGCUGAAACCUUUUUGACAGCCAUCCUGUGUCUUCAAUUACUUAUGUGUGAUCUGAAGGAAAAAGGCACUUUCACACAAUCUAAUACAGUAAAAAAAAGCCAAACAGUUCUGAGUUCCUGUCAAAUCCACCCUUGUUUAUCAAAAUAUUCUCAAUGUUUGUGAGAACACAACUAUGCUUUGAACUUAGAGGCAACUUAAGAACCAGAUUGAAACAGGCUAGUUUUACCCUUUUGAUGGGGGGGUCGUUGUGUUUUUCUGUGUUUGUGGUUUGUUGGGGUUUCUCUUAACAGCAGCAGAGUUGAGAAGGUGGCGUUUGUGCAUCUUCGGUUUGCCACUUUUAUUACUUCAACUAUUAUUAGAGAUUGUAGAAGCACCUCUGCUUCCCCCCAGCUCCCCUGCCCCUGUACAGUUCAUAAAUAUUCUGGGCUAUGCCAUUCAUUUUUAAUGCUCUUCUAUUCCUUUUACUUCUUUCAGUUCUUGUGUGGUUGGUGAAAAUAAACCUACGCUGCAGGGAUGCAAGAGGAGCAACAGCCUGAGGCUGCUGCAGAUCCAAUGUCCUCCUCUGAUGCACCAGAAGAUGGCCCAAAGGAAACGUCAAGUGUAUCGCAGAAUAUCUCUGAUGCAGAUGCAUUUAAAAUUCUUCUGGAGAUGAAGAUGAAGAAGAGGCAGAAAAAGCCUACCUUACCAAGCACUGUGACUGAACUUGACACUGAGGAUGGUUCUAAAGUAUAUGUGGUUGGAACAGCCCACUUCAGUGACAGCAGUAAAAAGGAUGUAGUGAAGACAAUACAAGAAGUGCAGCCUGAUGUAGUUGUGGUGGAACUAUGUCAGUACAGAGUUUCUAUGUUAAAGAUGGAUGAAAAGACAUUACUUAAAGAAGCCAAAGAAAUAAAUCUGGAAAAACUUCAACAAGCUAUAAAGCAGAAUGGAGUCAUGUCUGGAUUGAUGCAAAUGCUGCUUCUGAAGGUUUCUGCUCACAUCACAGAACAGCUGGGAAUGGCCCCAGGAGGAGAAUUCAGGGAGGCUUUCAAAGAGGCCAGUAAAGUACCUUUCUGUAAAUUCCAUCUUGGAGACCGACCCAUCCCUGUUACAUUUAAGAGAGCAAUUGCUGCACUUUCUUUCUGGCAAAAAGUCAAGCUUGCCUGGGGCCUUUGCUUCUUAUCUGAUCCAAUCAGUAAGGAUGAUGUGGAGAAAUGCAAACAGAAGGAUUUACUGGAGCAGAUGAUGGCAGAAAUGAUUGGAGAAUUUCCUGAUCUUCAUCGAACGAUUGUCUCGGAGAGAGAUAUUUACUUGACCUACAUGCUGAAGCAAGCAGCAAAGCAGAUAGAACUACCUCGAGCUUCAGAAACUGAACCUAGAGAAUAUAUCCCAGCUGUUGUAGUUGGUGUUGUUGGGAUGGGUCAUGUACCUGGAAUUGAAAAGAACUGGAAUUCUGAUUUAAACAUCCAAGAAAUAAUGAGUGUGCCUCCUCCAUCAGCUUCAAGUAAGAUUUUCAAAUUUGUCAUAAAAGCAACAGUUUUUGGACUGAUGGGAUAUGGCUGCUACCGAAUAGGUCAAAGGACAGUUCAGUUUAUUCUCUCGAUGCCAGCAGCACAGAGCUAUCUUCAGAAGCUGACAGAAAUACGGUCUCAGCAUUGAACACCGAGUGGAGGCACUAUGUGAAGAAGAAGGUGGCUGAAAAAGGGUGAUAGAGGCAACAAACGUGAACUGGACUGAAAGAAGAGUGAGAUGAAAAAUCUAGUCAGAUCGAUGCUGAGCAACACUGAAUCACUGUAUAAUAAAAGAUUUGAUACUAAAGUUACACCAGCUAUGAUCUAAUGAAUAGGUUUGAUUCUUGGGGAGUGUGUUGCAUGAAACCACAUGAUUCCAGAUUGAGCAUAUCAGCAGAUUCUUCAAGGAGCCUGUUUGUGGAUGGAGAAUUUGCAAUUUAUUUUCCCACUGUUGCAAACUGGCAGAUCGUACGCAUGCACUGUUUACUCAGUAGCACUGGAAAGUCUGAUGAAUUUGCAGACCUAACAAUCCUAUGAAUCCAUACAUAAAUGCUCAGUGUUGUAUAUUCAAUGUGUUGUGCUGUUUAUGUAAUAUAAUCAGUGGUUUAGGUCCAUUCUGUUCUAGUCAGUCCUUUCAGUGUUAACAGCAUCCUGUAAAAUUUAAAUAUAUGUUGAAUUGUCUCAGCCCCACCUCAACCUUAUGAAGCCAUAUUGUAUUUUUUUGGUGACAUGUACAUCUGUUUUAUGCAUUUGUACAUGUGAUGUAAAUUUGAAGUAUUUUUAACAAUGUGUGCCUUUAUUCUAAAGUGAUUUAAAGUAAACAGCAGUAUGUUCUAUGAUAUAAAAAAUAAAGUAUUUUAACCACCAUUUCUGUUGAAGGCAUUUAUUUUCCUCAUAAAUCAGUAUUUUUAUUGAGUACAAACACCGGUUAGCUAGAUCUAGUACAUUAUAAUGUCACCAUCUAAUACAUUUUUCUGAACAAGGAGGUCAGUUGGAAUAAAUACCUCCUACUGAGGGGCAUCUGAGUGUAGUGCUGAAGGAGGGAAACUAGUUUACCUACCAUAUGUAAAUUAGUUGAGAGGAAAGGAUGAGUUUCCCUGCCCUACUGAAUGUGCAGGGAGACUGACUUCUUAACGUGAGUACUUAACUCACCAUGCCUAACUCUGAAUUUGAUUUAAUUGUCGUUGCUUUUCUUUUAAUGUUUCUCUAGUGCUCGGUCUUGCAAGGAGCUGAUGGCCUUAGUCCCAGUCCAGCAAAGUGCUCAAACACUGGCCUAACAUCAGGCAUAGUCGCUUAUUCUUAAAGUACCAUCCUCUGCAUGGGAAUUAAAGACCCUUUAAGUGGAAAAGGUGCCCGGUUAGUGGCAAAAAGAGUUUAUUCUUUCAGAUUGAGUCAGGUAAAUCAAUAUGAUCAUUACUUUAAAAAAAAUCUCUAAAAGACCCUGUGUUCAUACUGAAAGUAAGUAAAUAUAUGAUAAGCUGUAUUCCAUACAGAUAAUAUACCAGCUGAAUAGUCUGCUGAUUAUACCCUUCAUCAAGCAGUGGUACAAAUGUGAAACAAAGUGCAGUCCUGUUUUCCUUGAUCAGGCAAAGUUCCCUUUAGUUGCACUUGCAGCUGUGUCUGCAAAGAAGUGCUGGGUAAGCCAUGCAGGUGGGGAGAAAAAAUUAAUAUUGUUAAAUACUGUCCAUGGGACUGGCAGAUGACAUGCUGCACAGCACGUGAACUAUUAAGUACUGCUCAGUCAGGCAGCCUCAGUUUGCACAUCCAUGCCUACAGAAGGCAGCUGCCUGCUUUUAGAGUGUGUUGUUCACUAGUGUUACAUGCAUACUGCUGGCCUAGGUCAUGUUUAUGAUGUCUUUUCUAUACUGAAUACUGAACCAAAUUAAAUUAUUUUUGAGGUGGAUUAAUAUUGCCCAUAUUUCCACUGGAAGCUGUUUUUCUGUGUGUGUAUUGUAAACCUCUAAAGGGCACUGAAAAAUAUACCAAGUUGUCUCAAAGUGCCAGGCAGUAGUGGGAACUACACAUGGAAAAGAAACCACACACUGUCACUUGUGUAACUCUAAGAUAUUCAUGUAUGUAUUUUCCUGUUUCUUUCUAAAACUGAAAUAAAUUU